Molecule: ribosomal RNA, 251 nt
Filed under: uncultured bacterium
Lineage: Bacteria
Description: partial 16S ribosomal RNA
Rfam family: Bacterial small subunit ribosomal RNA
Source: RNAcentral
UACGGAGGAUGCGAGCGUUAUCCGGAUUUAUUGGGUUAAAGGGUGCGUAGGCGGACUAUCAAGUCAGCGGUAAAAUUGAGAGGCUCAACCUCUUCCCGCCGUUGAAACUGGUGGUCUUGAGUGGAUGAGAAGUACGCGGAAUGCGUGGUGUAGCGGUGAAAUGCAUAGAUAUCACGCAGAACUCCGAUUGCGAAGGCAGCGUACCGGCAUCCAACUGACGCUGAGGCACGAAAGCGUGGGGAUCAAACAGG